Molecule: ribosomal RNA, 293 nt
Filed under: uncultured microorganism
Description: partial 16S ribosomal RNA
Rfam family: Bacterial small subunit ribosomal RNA
Source: RNAcentral
GUGCCAGCAGCCGCGGUAAUACGUAGGGCGCAAGCGUUGUCCGGAAUUAUUGGGCGUAAAGAGCUCGUAGGCGGUUUGUCGCGUCUGCUGUGAAAGCCCGGGGCUUAACCCCGUGGUGUGCAGUGGGUACGGGCAGACUAGAGUGCAGUAGGGGAGACUGGAAUUCCUGGUGUAGCGGUGAAAUGCGCAGAUAUCAGGAGGAACACCGAUGGCGAAGGCAGGUCUCUGGGCUGUUACUGACGCUGAGGAGCGAAAGCAUGGGGAGCGAACAGGAUUAGAUACCCUGGUAGUCC